AACGAACGCUGGCGGCGUGCUUAACACAUGCAAGUCGAACGUGAUUCAGAGCUUGCUCUGAUGAAAGUGGCGCACGGGUGAGUAACGCGUGGAUAACCUGCCCUGGUAUCUGGGAUAACAUUUCGAAAGGAGUGCUAAUACCGGAUAAGCCCACGGGGUCUUCGGACCUUGCGGGAAAAGGUGGCCUCUGAAUAUGCUACUGUAUCAGGAUGAGUCCGCGUCCCAUUAGCUAGUUGGCGGGGUAAUGGCCCACCAAGGCAUCGAUGGGUAGCUGGUCUGAGAGGAUGAUCAGCCACACUGGAACUGAGACACGGUCCAGACUCCUACGGGAGGCAGCAGUGGGGAAUUUUGCGCAAUGGGGGAAACCCUGACGCAGCAACGCCGCGUGAGUGAUGAAGGCCUUCGGGUCGUAAAGCUCUGUCAGAGGGAAAGAAGUGUAGGAGGGCUAAUACCCCUUUUACUUGACGGUACCCUCAAAGGAAGCACCGGCUAACUCCGUGCCAGCAGCCGCGGUAAUACGGAGGGUGCGAGCGUUGUUCGGAAUUAUUGGGCGUAAAGCGCGUGUAGGCGGUUUUUUAAGUCUGAUGUGAAAGCCCUGGGCUCAACCCGGGAAGUGCAUUGGAAACUGGGAGACUUGAAUACGGGAGAGGGCAGUGGAAUUCCUGGUGUAGGAGUGAAAUCCGUAA
RNAcentral lists this ribosomal RNA (686 nucleotides) under uncultured Geobacter sp. RNAcentral's name for it is "bacterial SSU rRNA". It matches the Rfam family "Bacterial small subunit ribosomal RNA", at positions 28 to 693 of the family's 1533-position model. The record is from RNAcentral. Lineage: Bacteria; Pseudomonadati; Thermodesulfobacteriota; Desulfuromonadia; Geobacterales; Geobacteraceae.